Molecule: long non-coding RNA, 1124 nt
Organism: Nomascus leucogenys (northern white-cheeked gibbon)
Lineage: Eukaryota; Metazoa; Chordata; Mammalia; Primates; Hylobatidae
Exons: 3
Source: RefSeq, a predicted model, not a curated record
GUGCUGGGAUUACAGGUGUGGGCCACCACACCCGGUCAUAAAGCUGCAUUUUAUAAGAAAAGAAAAAAUUCAGGCUGGAACAGCCUUCAUGUGAUAUACACCUGCUAGUUCUUCCUGGCCGUCAGCACCUGGGAUUUGGCGUGUGCAUUGCUAAGAGCUGGGGUUGGCUCCUAUGGGGAAGUAGUAUUUCAACUUGGAUGCAAAGCAGAAAGGAACUGAACACAAGGAUUCUUAAAUUAGAUUAUGGGCAAUUUAGAUUGUUCCCUGAGUUGAAGUGGCCUUUGGCCAGCCAUGGGGCCCUGAUGCCAUGAGUCACACUUGCCCUGGAGAGGGCCAGGGAACUCCGAGCUGAUGCCCUUGUUAUAGCAAAGCCACAUCAUAACCUAUGCAAUCAAGCUUGAAAACAAAGGAAUUUUAUGUUGUCUUUCUCAUCUGACCUCAAAUCCCAGAGGGGGAUUCCUUUUGCUGAGUUUUUGAUUAAAAUGCUCAUGGGUCCUGUUCCUUUUCCCUUUAGAAGAGAUUAAUUGCUCAGUUUCCUGACUCCAGGUCAAGAGAGACUGCUCUCCUCCCCAAGCUAGGGGAACCUUCUGGGACUUCAUCAGCCGCCAGUGAGGGGAUAAUGGUCCCUCACUGCCCCAUCAGGAAAGGCUCGUGGGUGAUUGGGACCUUUGCUUGAAACCCAACUUACUGGCCAGGAACCUCAAGUUCUGGGACCAGGCGCCUUCCUCCCUCCCACUGUACCAGGGGAGGGGAGACACAACCCCUCAAUGGCUGUCUAGCUCCAGGCAGAUCAGCUGCUACGGGGGCUGCUGAGCAGGGAGAGGCUGUCGAUGCUGAGGCACGAGAGAAUUUGCUCCUGCUCCUCCAGAGAAAAUGGCUGGGACAGGCUGUUGAGGAAUAAUUCUGCAGGGAAAAGUGGAAGAUGGCUGUGAAAGACUGGGAGGAGGCUGGCUGUGUUUUCAGGGGUUCUUCCUGCACAGUCUGUAGAAGCUGAGCUGCUGGGGAAGGGGCUGGAAGAAAGCCCACACCGCAGCUGCUGCAGUUCCUGCUCCGGGAAGGUUGCUUUCCGCUCUGGUGAGCUGGGGUUUCUGGCAGGGGCUGGCUCCAGGGAGGACAGAGGUAAG